AACUCCUGACCUCAAGUGAUCCGCCCACCUCGGCCUCCCAAAGUGCUGGGAUUACAGGCAUGAGCCACCGCUCCGGGCCCUUGCACAUAUUUUUUUAUGAACACACAGGCAGCAGCACUUUGAUUACAGUAACUUACAUGGAAGUUAUUUUAAAAUGGCUUUCCCCUUCUCUUUUUCAUGUAGGCUGCAUUUUUCAUCUGCAGCACGCUUUCUCUCAAGAAUCUCAAGCACACACAAGAAACCAGAGAGUAAAAUCACUGAGGCGUGAACACAUCCAGAGACCAAGGGCGUCACUGGCAGAAAAGCUUUUAGGCGGAUCCACGGCCCGAGAGCCACCCUGCCCAGAGACGCGGUUUCCUAGGAGCAGUUCACACGCGGCUCUGCAGCACCCACAAGCGGGGCCAGGGGCUGGUUUUCAUAGUUCACAGUCUGCAGGGAUCUUAACAAAAACAUGGCCGUGGUAAAAGUGCCUAGACCAGGCUUUCGUCACAACUCAUCAUGUUACUAGGUUAGGAUAAUAAAAAGGACUGUGAACUUCACAUCUGCCAUCUAUAAUAGAUUCUUAUUGUAGCAAUCUUGCACCAAGGGGAUUUCUUUAUUAACUCUGCCAAAUUUUCCAAAAUUACCAAAUGGAGAAAAGAGCUGGUCCCAUCUGUCACCAGGCACAACCAGGAAGUGUCAGAAGACUUUCAGAAGCACAUGCAGUUGCAGCUCCAGUGUUUCAACAGUUGCCCAUUUCCAAGGCCUCCUAAAUACGUAUGAGGCCUGUGGACAACUUUCUCCUCAGCUGUUACAGAACCUGGACAACUUGUAGUGAAGACCUUCCACACCAGUAACAUAUUUUGGUGAGCCAGUCGGGAGUUGGCUAGAUUAGUUCCCCAGUCUGUCUUCUCGCCACUCUGGAUGUCCACAUGAGAGGACCCAAGCACGAAUGGUUAGAAAGAUGAACUUGGAACCUCAGACGAGAAUAUGAGAAACAUAAACAGAGACAUAUGACAACCUAAAAAAUGGAGUACAAUACCAAUAAGAAUAACGAUUA
Molecule: long non-coding RNA, 1039 nt
Filed under: Homo sapiens (human)
Lineage: Eukaryota; Metazoa; Chordata; Mammalia; Primates; Hominidae
Description: HSALNT0375459
Source: RNAcentral